GGCUGAAAUUCGCCUUCAUGAAGCCGGAAUUGCUAGUAAUGGCAGGUCAGCAUACUGCCGUGAAUACGUUCCCGGGCCUUGUACACACCGCCCGUCACACCAUGAGAGUUGGGGAUACCUGAAGCCUGUGAGCCAACUAUAUAGAGGCAGCAGUCGAAGGUAGAAUCAAUGAUUGGGGUGAAGUCGUAACAAGGUAUC
Molecule: ribosomal RNA, 198 nt
Filed under: uncultured bacterium
Lineage: Bacteria
Description: partial 16S ribosomal RNA
Rfam family: Bacterial small subunit ribosomal RNA
Source: RNAcentral